RNAcentral lists this ribosomal RNA (246 nucleotides) under uncultured bacterium. RNAcentral's name for it is "partial 16S ribosomal RNA". It matches the Rfam family "Bacterial small subunit ribosomal RNA", at positions 109 to 354 of the family's 1533-position model. The record is from RNAcentral.
AGUAACGCGUGGAUAACCUGCCUUGCACUGGGGGAUAACACUUAGAAAUAGGUGCUAAUACCGCAUAAGCGCACAGCUUCGCAUGAAGCAGUGUGAAAAACUUCCGGUGGUAUACGAUGGAUCCGCGUCUGAUUAGCUGGUUGGCGGGGUAAAGGCCCACCAAGGCGACGAUCAGUAGUCGGCCUGAGAGGGUGAACGGCCACAUUGGGACUGAGACACGGCCCAAACUCCUACGGAAGGCAGCAG